GAUGAACGCUGGCUACAGGCUUAACACAUGCAAGUCGUGGGGAAACGGCAUUAUGUGCUUGCACAUUCUGGACGUCGACCGGCGCACGGGUGAGUAUCGCGUAUCCAACCUGCCCCUUACUUGGGGAUACCCCGUCGAAAGACGGCCUAAUACCCGAUGUGUUUCAUUGACGGCAUCCGAUAUGAAACAAAGGUUUUUCCGGUAAGGGAUGGGGAUGCGUCUGAUUAGCCAGUUGGCGGGGCAACGGCCCACCAAGGCGACGAUCAGUAGGGGUUCUGAGGGGAAGGUCCCCCACAUUGGAACUGAGACACGGUCCAAACUCCUACGGGAGGCAGCAGUGAGGAAUAUUGGUCAAUGGACGCAAGUCUGAACCAGCCAAGUAGCGUGCAGGAUGACGGCCCUAUGGGUUGUAAACUGCUUUUAUGUGGGAAUAAAGUGGCGCACGUGUGCGCCAUUGCAUGUACCUCAUGAAUAAGGACCGGCUAAUUCCGUGCCAGCAGCCGCGGUAAUACGGAAGGUCCGGGCGUUAUCCGGAUUUAUUGGGUUUAAAGGGAGUGUAGGCGGUCUGUUAAGCGUGUUGUGAAAUUUAGGUGCUCAACAUUUAACUUGCAGCGCGAACUGUCAGACUUGAGUACACGCAGCGCAGGCGGAAUUCAUGGUGUAGCGGUGAAAUGCUUAGAUAUCAUGAGGAACUCCGAUCGCGAAGGCAGCCUGCGGGAGUGUUACUGACGCUUAAGCUCGAAGGUGCGGGUAUCGAACAGG
This 762-nucleotide ribosomal RNA is filed under the name Prevotella nigrescens. Its description in RNAcentral is "bacterial SSU rRNA". It matches the Rfam family "Bacterial small subunit ribosomal RNA", at positions 28 to 776 of the family's 1533-position model. The record is from RNAcentral. Lineage: Bacteria; Pseudomonadati; Bacteroidota; Bacteroidia; Bacteroidales; Prevotellaceae.